This is a long non-coding RNA of Sphaeramia orbicularis (orbiculate cardinalfish), 219 nucleotides long. RefSeq lists it as uncharacterized. The record is from RefSeq and is a predicted model, not a curated record. The transcript has 3 exons. Lineage: Eukaryota; Metazoa; Chordata; Actinopteri; Kurtiformes; Apogonidae.
CUCCCAUUUAUUUAUAAUGGCCAAAAUUUCACAUCUAUAAAAACAUCAGUUUUGUUUAGAUUUACCUCAGACUUGGCACAUAUAGAGAGGAAAUUGAUAUACUGACGUCAGCCCAUGUAUAGACAUGGUGACAUCAAGUGGAUCGAUGCCAACAUAAGCGACAAUAUGUGUGAGGGGCAGGGUUUGUUGUGCCUGGCACCACUUGUGUACUAUAAGUGA